This 79-nucleotide transfer RNA is filed under the name Branchiostoma floridae (Florida lancelet). It matches the Rfam family "tRNA". Rfam says of the family: Transfer RNA (tRNA) molecules are approximately 80 nucleotides in length. Their secondary structure includes four short double-helical elements and three loops (D, anti-codon, and T loops). Lineage: Eukaryota; Metazoa; Chordata; Leptocardii; Amphioxiformes; Branchiostomatidae. The record is from Rfam by way of RNAcentral.
GUCAGCAUGGCCGAGUGGUCUAAGGUGCUGCGUUCAGAUCGCAGUUCUUUUGCCGUGGGUUCGAACCCCACUUACAACA